UGCCAGCCGCCGCGGUAACACGGGGGGCGCAAGCGUUAUUCGGAAUUAUUGGGCGUAAAGGGCGCGCAGGCGGUCUUGUCCGUCAGGUGUGAAAUCUUGCCGCUUAACGGUAAAAUUGCCAUUGAAACUGAAGUUCUUGAAUGUAGUUGAGGUAGGCGGAAUGUGUUGUGUAGCGGUGAAAUGCAUAGAUAUGACACAGAACGCCAAUUGCGAAGGCAGCUUACUAAGCUACGAUUGACGCUGAGGCACGAAAGCGUGGGGAGCGAACAGGAUUAGAUA
Molecule: ribosomal RNA, 279 nt
Filed under: uncultured bacterium
Lineage: Bacteria
Description: partial 16S ribosomal RNA
Rfam family: Bacterial small subunit ribosomal RNA
Source: RNAcentral